RNAcentral lists this ribosomal RNA (253 nucleotides) under uncultured bacterium. Its description in RNAcentral is "partial 16S ribosomal RNA". It matches the Rfam family "Bacterial small subunit ribosomal RNA", at positions 524 to 776 of the family's 1533-position model. The record is from RNAcentral.
GACGAGCCACACGAACGUUAUUCGGAAUUACUGGGCUUAAAGGGUGCGUAGGCUGCGCGGAAAGUUGGGUGUGAAAUCCCUCGGCUCAACCGAGGAACUGCGCCCAAAACUACCGUGCUCGAGGAAGAUAGAGGUAAGCGGAACUUACGGUGGAGCGGUGAAAUGCGUUGAUAUCGUGAGGAACACCGGAGGCGAAAGCGGCUCACUGGGGCUUAUCUGACGCUGAGGCACGAAAGCUAGGGGAGCAAACGGG